AAACCCAGUGUUAUAAAGGAAGGUGUCAUGAGGAUGACACCACUUGGGGUUUUUAUUCUUUACGGCCCACGCCUGAAGUGGGUUAUUUCAGAGAAAUACUUGUGGGUAGCAGCCUAAAACGUGUGUAAGAAACAAAACCACCGAAAACACUAAAUUUAAAAAAUGCAGAAGACAAGCAUUCCACAUGUCAGCUCAUGAAAGAAGAAGUUUUUAUGUCUCUGGGUGUCGUAAUCAAUUUUUCAUAGAUGUUUGAACACGAAUAUAAAAGUGUAUUUUACGGCUACUGACAUAAACGGAAGCUUCAAGUCUGGAUGAGCAAAAGUAGGCCCGUUUUCCAGCAGUCUGGUAAGGCCAGGGGUUACAUUGCAACGAUUUCUGAUACCAACUUUUGGUCGUGUACCUCCUAGGGAGCCCUGGGGGCAUGGGUGCUGCUGGGGUGGGCCCCGAGCCAACUGAAUCCCCCCCCAGCCGAGGAAGCAGAGGAGAACCGAGGGGGCCGGAGUCUGUCAGGCGGCGGGAAGCCAGCGCAGGCAGCAGGCAGGCGGCCGAUGGAGGGGGGAGUCCCCUCUGAAGUCCAUUGGGAAGCUGUGCUGGCAGUGUCCCAAGAGCCCCUCCUCCUGCCCAGAUGGGGCGGGUGACGCAACGAAUAAACGAGGUAAUACAUGGCAUCUUGGACAGUGCCCUCCACCGGGAAGAGGCUCGGCAAAUGUUCACAGCCGGUUACGCGCGGGCACCUGAGCGCGCUGGCUCCCGCUAGCAGAUGCGUCCUUGGCGGGUGGGAAGCUCCGUCUCUAGGCGAUCGAGCACCGCUGGCAGGCUUGGUCCAGGUCAAGAGAGCCCAGAACCCUCCCCGGCUGUUCAGGGCUUCCCAUGUGCCAGGCACUCCCCACCCGUUAAUAAUGCACAUUGUUAUGUCCAGCUUUGAACGGCUGAGCAGCGCUGCCACGUCCUGGUCCCAAUUUACAGUUGAGAAAUGGAGGGAGGCCCAGAGAUUGGAAGGAGAAGACGCGUGCCACUCACAGAUGGAGAAACUGAGGCACGCCGGAGCAAAGUCACACAGCAACCGGGAAAGCCUGGAUGCAAACUCGGACGUCUGACCUGCGGAUCUUUGC
This 1112-nucleotide long non-coding RNA is filed under the name Vulpes vulpes (red fox). RNAcentral describes it as "lncRNA (ENSVVUG00000023547.1)". The record is from RNAcentral. Lineage: Eukaryota; Metazoa; Chordata; Mammalia; Carnivora; Canidae.